Long non-coding RNA from Nematostella vectensis (starlet sea anemone), 550 nucleotides. RefSeq lists it as uncharacterized. The transcript has 2 exons. The record is from RefSeq and is a predicted model, not a curated record. Lineage: Eukaryota; Metazoa; Cnidaria; Anthozoa; Actiniaria; Edwardsiidae.
GUUUAAAAGUUUUUGGGUGAGGAGCUCCCGGACAACUUUGCUUUGGAGCAGAUUUGUGGUUUAAUCGGGGUAGAAAAAUGUAAAACCUACUGAGUUGCAGAACCCUUUCAUUGUAGAACCCACCACUUGCUGGAUGGAGGGGGUUCAGCCGACUUACAAGGCAAAAUAGGAAACCUGACUGACUGACAGAUUUACCUAUUGAUUGACCCAUUUAUUGACUAACCGAUUGACCAAUUGUUUUUAACCUACGCACUGAUUGAUGCAAAUCAUAAGGAUAGUAUGGGUACAGUAUCAGAAUAUUAUCACAACAAAGUCUUGAUCUAAUCAGAAUAUCUAUUUUUGUUACAACAUUAAGUAAUUUAUUAUAUAUAUAUUGUAUAACACAUAAGACAUUGUAUUUUUGGGGAUUAUUUUAUUGUUGGAAAUCUCAUUUCUUAUUGUUUGGAAUCUUAUUUCUUAUAUAAAGUAGCAACAAUCUAUCAAAUACAAAGAUAUCAAAUUUUUUAAUUUAUUUUGUGAAUACAAACUCAUUAAAUUAAAUUAAAAGAUA